RNAcentral lists this long non-coding RNA (1531 nucleotides) under Meriones unguiculatus (Mongolian gerbil). RNAcentral describes it as "lncRNA (ENSMUGG00000003080.1)". The record is from RNAcentral. Lineage: Eukaryota; Metazoa; Chordata; Mammalia; Rodentia; Muridae.
UCCCCACAGAGCGUAAGUGGCUUGAGGAAGCCAAGCCCGUCAGAAACUUUCGAAAGACUUCAUCCCGGCGCUGGCGGCCCUGGCGACCCUGGUCUUACUAGAUCCUGCUGCACUGGGAACACUGACAGUUAAAGAAGCCGAAUUUAGCCACAGUCACCUGGUCUUCCCUUCUGCUCUUCCCUGCCGAUGCCGUUAGAGGCUUUGAGUGGGCACCGGAGGAAGAGUAGAGCCACAGCAACACAAGCUGCUCUGAUGGAGUGGAGCGGUGCUGAUGUCCCAUGGAGGUGGAGAAGGAGGACUGGCAGAGAGGAGGACGAUGAGGGGCGAGGAAGAAAAAGUGUAAAAAAGAACGGGAGGAAGAGAGGAGAAGGACAGGAAAAGAGGGAACAGAAGGAGGAGGAAGAAGAGAACUUCCACGGCUUCAAGCUUUCAGGUGUCCAGUCUGGCCGCUCGGAAGAGAAAGUGUGCCCAUCUCAGCCCCAAAGCAACAGCGACCAUCUAGAAAACAGAAGGUCAAAAGCAGCUGAAUGAAUGAUUCGUCAGAUUCAAAGGAUAUCCAAAGCGAAGUUCAAUAAGACUCUUUCCCAUGAAUGUAACGUAAAUUCUAAAAUCUAUAUGCAAAGUGGAAACAGCAAACUGGGUUUGCAAAGGACUGGGGAGGAGCACUCACCUCAGCGGCAUGUACUGAGGAAGGUGUAAAACCAAGAACAGUAAAAAUGCCAUGGCACUGUACUCACAAACUGGCCGCUGCGACCAAACCAGGGCCCCAGAGUUCCACCUGUGCAAACAGAGCCAACACAGGGAGACUUUCUUAAAACGAAUUUCCAAAAAAGACCAAACUCAGUUUAAUUACAUUGAAAUUAGCAGUUUCUGUUCAUCAAAGGAUUCAUUUAGCUAAACUUAAAAGAAAGCGGGGGGGGGGGGGAAAUGUUUGCUAUGUCUAAAGCCACCAAGACAUACUUACCUGAACAUGUGGGUAAAAUGCUAGGCGUGAGGACGGGGUGAGUGAGGAGGGCACGGGGAAAGGAGCAAGGCCUAACACCCACCCGUGCUUGGUAGGACCCGCGUCAGCCUCCGCAGCUGAGGCUUACCUGGGAACCACCAGAGCUGAAAUUGUUUUUCCUCGCCGCCAGUUAAUGGUGCAGUGCCUUCCGCUCAUGUAACUUACAAAGCCGCUGUAAUUUUCUGUGUCCCUGACCCUGCGUACAUCCAUGUGCAUGACUGGUGCCUGCGAGUCUCCAGCAGAUCCCCGGGAAUUGGAGGAACCAUGCGGGUGCUGCGACCUGGAAGAGCCCUUACACAAGGGGUCAUCUGUCCGGCCCCCAACGUUGUUGUUUUGAAACAGGGUCUCUCGGGAACUUCCGAUCUUCCUGCCUCCACCUCCCGAAUACUGGGCUUACGCGCCUAUGUCAGCAUACCUGGUUCUGUGGCUGCAAUCUAAGACUUUGCACACGCCUGGCACGGGCUCUACCACCUGCACUGCGUCCCAGUCCCUCGUGUAACUUUUGGUUUGUAGCUCUGCAAGUACGUU